Molecule: long non-coding RNA, 2674 nt
Organism: Galeopterus variegatus (Sunda flying lemur)
Lineage: Eukaryota; Metazoa; Chordata; Mammalia; Dermoptera; Cynocephalidae
Exons: 4
Source: RefSeq, a predicted model, not a curated record
UUGGUUACCGAGUAUCUAAUUGGGACUGAUUUGUUAAUCCAAUUUAUGAGAAUGGUGGUUCCUCAGUUCUACAGUUAUCUAGCAUAUAUAUGGUAAUCCUUAGCCCUGCAAAAUAGCUGAAGACCAGAAAAAUGGGGUAAGUCAGGACUUGAAGAGAAUGGUAAUGGCUCUGAGGAAGUACACAAUCAUAGAAAGAUUGUGCUGGAAUUCCUCAGGGGUGGCAGUGGUGUAAGUUGGUAGGUGGAGCUUUGAGCCUCUUCAGCUGGAGUAGCUCUGGCUCUAUCUACUAUUGGGCUUCGUUUGUAGAAAGAAUUCCAGUACUUGAAAGGAAAAAGGUUAAAAACCAAUUCAGAGUACUUUUGAUGAGAAGCUUGAAGCUCAGAGAGGUACCCAAAGUAGUGUAGUUAUUAGGAGCAGGGGCCAGGACUAGAAAUAAGAUCUCCUUUCCUAACAAGAAUACUAAAUCUUUUUGAGUCUCAGUAAAUAACUGAGUGGUCUGGGAAGAGUUUUUUAAAAAUGAGGUUAUGGCCUGGUGUAAUGUUGUUACAACUGACCGCAAUGAUUCUAAGUUAACAUGACCAUAUUGAGGCAGGUCUGCUGUGUUGUUCAUGAAGACAGGGAAGUGUGUCUUAGCGCCAUAGCUUUUCAUUCUGUCUCUCUUUCACCACCGUAGGACACUUCAUCCCCUGACCAUGCUGGAUAACUAAUGCUUUACUAUUGACUACCCAUCCCAUUUUCAUGCCUUUAACAUACAAAGAGAAUCUGGAAUUAUAGUCUGUAUUAAAUCAGUGGCCACUCGGAACUGGCACUUUAAAUUCAAAAACAUUAACUGGAUAAUCCUGAUCAGACUGUUGUUCAAAGAGCAUUUUAACUGGGUAACAAAGUAAAUUAACAUUAUAUUUAGAUUUCAUUAUGCUUUUCUUAUAAAGACUGAUUUCCCAUUUUACCUUAGGUAUAUUUGUGAAACUUGUUGCAGAAUGUUUGACUACUUGAAUUCAACAGAACAUAUCAUGUAUUUUGCUUUGUAGACAUUUAUGUCAGUGUCAUUCUCUAAGAAACAAAUAGAGAAGUAGAUAAUCUUCUCUAGACAGAUUUUUUACCUUUUGGAAAAGAAUAUCAAUUUACUUAAAAAUUACAAGCUGUAUUAAGUUGACAUUGGUGGUCAUCAGAAGUCUGGGAGCUAAAGUUUAUUUCAAAAGUCUUAUUAGGUGUAUUUGCAUUUCUUGAGAUAUGGUUUAAAUUCUCUGUCUACUGUUGUAAACACCUCCUUAUUUCAGAUAUCUUUCCUUAAAGUGCCUCAUAGCUUCUCAUGUUGCUGUACCCAUGCAGAAAUGCUGCUGCUCUUUCUUGCCGUUUAUCCAAAUGGGCCUGAAAAUUCAGUGUAGCCACAAUCACUUCUGUCCGUGAAUGCAUGUGGUUUGUAUCCCAGGAGAGCACUUAGUCUGCCUUGCUGUUUGACAUCAAUUGUGAUCUAUAACUGACUGUAAAAUCCCAUAUAUGAUUCCUUCGGCUGUCUGAAAUCUUAGAGCCAUUAAUGGUAAGUCUCUCAUCUACAAUUUGACUGAUAAACUGCUCUUCACAUUGUUCCCAUUUUCUAUUUAUUGUCACAUCAUUUAAUAUGUGCUGUCAGGGUAGCAGGAUUUGUGGCUACUCAUAACUCUGUCACAUCAUUUCUUCUUUACUGACCUGUUAAGUAAAGGAAACGUUUGAUACAUAAAUAAAUACAAGGGCCGGCCUGUGGCUCACUCGGGAGAGUGCGGUGCUGAUAAAUAAAUACAAGAUGGUAUUUAUUCCUAUAUAAGACCUUUAUUCUUAUAUAGGUCCUGUCCCUGCUAUCAAUGGGGCACUGAAGAAAACAGGACUGACUCUUAAGGACAUGGAUUUGGUAGAGGUAAAUGAAGCUUUUGCUCCCCAGUACUUGGCUGUUCAGAAGAGUAUGGAUCUUGACCCAAGUAAAACCAAUGUGAAUGGAGGAGCCAUUGCUUUGGGUCACCCAUUGGGAGGAUCUGGAUCAAGAAUUACCACCCACCUGGUUUAUGAAUUAAGGCGUCGAGGUGGAAAAUACGCUGUUGGCUCAGCUUGCAUUGGAGGUGGCCAAGGUAUUGCAGUCAUCAUUCAGAACACAGCCUGAAGAGACCAAGGACCACUGUGAUCCACUCUGACUUUACUUGGCCAGGUCACAGUAAAACAGGUGACCUUCAGAGCAGCUGCUACAACUGGCCAUGAACUGCCACUGAAAUAGCGAUUAAGUUUGAUCAAGCCAUGGCGAGGCAAAAAUGAAUUUAUCAUGAAUAAGAGCCCGUGCCAGAAGUAGGUUCUUUCAGAUUUGUACCAAAUAUAAUGUAUCUCUGAACAAAAAUUCAUAGAAUGCCUUAAAAGAAAUUGUAUCCUUGCCAAAUAACCACCACUUAUACCUUAGGUAAUAUAAUUACAAGGAAGUGGAAUAAAUGUUGCCUUAACUUUGGCUAAUCUUUUGCUGUUUUUUAUUGUAUUAAAAAAAUUUAAUUGUGGUAAAAUUCACUUUACAUAAAAUUUACCAUCCUAACCUUUCUUAAGUGUAGAGUUUAGCACAUUAAGUAACAAUCACAUUGUUGCAAACAUCACCACUAUCUAUCUUCAAAACUUUUUCAUUAUUGCAAACUAAAACUCUGUACCCAUUAAGCAAUAACCCCUC